AUUGAACGCUGGCGGCAUGCCUUACACAUGCAAGUCGAACGGCAGCAUGGAGAGCUUGCUCUCUGAUGGCGAGUGGCGAACGGGUGAGUAAUGCAUCGGAACGUACCGUGUAAUGGGGGAUAACGUAGCGAAAGUUACGCUAAUACCGCAUACGACCUGAGGGUGACAGCAGGGGAUCGCAAGACCUUGCGUUAUACGAGCGGCCGGUGUCAGAUUAGCUAGUUGGGGAGGUAAAGGCUCACCAAGGCGACGAUCUGUAGCGGGUCUGGGAGGAUGAUCCGCCACACUGGGACUGAGACACGGCCCAGACCCCUACGGGAGGCAGCAGUGGGGGAUUUUGGACAAUGGGGGCAACCCUGAUCCAGCCAUGCCGCGUGAGUGAAGAAGGCCUUCGGGUUGUAAAGCUCUUUCGGCCGGGAAGAAAUCGCACAGGCUAAUACUCUGUGUGGAUGACGGUACCGGCAUAAGAAGCACCGGCUAACUACGUGCCAGCCGCCGCCGUAA
RNAcentral lists this ribosomal RNA (504 nucleotides) under uncultured bacterium. RNAcentral describes it as "partial 16S ribosomal RNA". It matches the Rfam family "Bacterial small subunit ribosomal RNA", at positions 30 to 523 of the family's 1533-position model. The record is from RNAcentral.